This 279-nucleotide ribosomal RNA is filed under the name uncultured bacterium. Its description in RNAcentral is "partial 16S ribosomal RNA". It matches the Rfam family "Bacterial small subunit ribosomal RNA", at positions 506 to 784 of the family's 1533-position model. The record is from RNAcentral.
UGCCAGCCGCCGCGGUAAUACAGAGGGUGCAAGCGUUAAUCGGAAUUACUGGGCGUAAAGGGCGCGUAGGUGGAUACUUAAGUCAGAUGUGAAAGCCCCGGGCUUAACCUGGGAGGGUCAUCUGAUACUGGGUAUCUAGAGUACAAGAGAGGAAGGCGGAAUUUCCGGUGUAGCGGUGAAAUGCGUAGAUAUCGGAAAGAACACCAAUGGCGAAGGCAGCCUUCUGGCUUGAUACUGACACUGAGGCGCGAAAGCGUGGGUAGCGAACAGGAUUAGAUA